This 217-nucleotide long non-coding RNA is filed under the name Gossypium raimondii (Peruvian cotton). RNAcentral's name for it is "long non-coding RNA (GRAI_LNC007396)". Lineage: Eukaryota; Viridiplantae; Streptophyta; Magnoliopsida; Malvales; Malvaceae. The record is from RNAcentral.
GUUGGUGGGUUUCGAUUCUUAGCAGUAAGGUUUUAUCGUUUCCUACUCUAUUUUCUUGUGGGUUUGUUUGUUGGGUUUUUGGGGGUUGCAAAAUUUCAUUAGUAUGGUAUGAAAUUUGUAAAAUUUUAUAUUAUCUAAUUAAUCCACUAUGCUUUAAGAGAGGUUCAAGAUGUGUUUGGUGUUCCUCCAAUGACUUAGGAUUUGCGUAGUAGUUGUU